Molecule: long non-coding RNA, 578 nt
Organism: Lolium rigidum
Lineage: Eukaryota; Viridiplantae; Streptophyta; Magnoliopsida; Poales; Poaceae
Exons: 2
Source: RefSeq, a predicted model, not a curated record
GCCGCCAGGCUCAACCCCGUCUCCGACGAUUGUCUCCUCCGCGACCUCAGACGGGUGGUCCUCGACGACGACGCGCUCGCGCUCUUCCUCCUCCGCCUUGACAAGCCAAGCGCUCCUUGUCUGGCUUCGCCACAAGUGGCUCCACCUCCUUGCAUUCUCCUGCAGUGUCGGGUGAUUGCGUGGGCGCUGAUAGCCUGAAGCAGGAAGCAGCUGACCAUGAGGAGCUCACUAAGACGACGAGGUGUGGCCAUGCUGCCUUAUCAGAGCUAGCUAGCUUACUGAUCGCAGACAAGGACGACAGUGCUUUUGAGCUGAGAUAGUAUGCCUGGUUGCAUGGAAUGACAGAACAAGCAUGGUUUUAAUGGCCCAGGAAAGGGCUCAAUUUUGGGCGGCUAUUGGGUUUGUAGCUGCCAUGUCGUUUUUAAUUCUAGGUGAGAAAUCCUUGCUUGACAAGGCUAGCUAGCCGCAGAUUGCAGGUAAUUUCUUCUUUAUUUUUACCUCAAAGUAUGCAAAGGUAGCACCCACUUGCACUUGGCUAACUAUGUUGCAUAGAAAUUGGGUAAUAUCCAUGCCGGUGA